Molecule: ribosomal RNA, 301 nt
Filed under: uncultured bacterium
Lineage: Bacteria
Description: partial 16S ribosomal RNA
Rfam family: Bacterial small subunit ribosomal RNA
Source: RNAcentral
CAGCCGCCGCGGUAAAACGGAGGGGGCUAGCGUUGUUCGGAAUUACUGGGCGUAAAGCGCACGUAGGCGGCUUGGUAAGUUAGAGGUGAAAGCCCGGAGCUCAACUCCGGAAUUGCCUUUAAGACUGCCGAGCUAGUAGGUGAGAGAGGUAAGUGGAAUUCCGAGUGUAGAGGUGAAAUUCGUAGAUAUUCGGAAGAACACCAGUGGCGAAGGCGGCUUACUGGCUCAUUCUAGACGCUGAGGUGCGAAAGCGUGGGGAGCAAACAGGAUUAGAUACCCCCGUAGUCCCUGUCUCUUAUAC